Molecule: ribosomal RNA, 250 nt
Filed under: uncultured bacterium
Lineage: Bacteria
Description: partial 16S ribosomal RNA
Rfam family: Bacterial small subunit ribosomal RNA
Source: RNAcentral
UACGUAGGGUGCGAGCGUUAAUCGGAAUUACUGGGCGUAAAGGGUGCGUAGGCGGUUCGUCGUGUCUGGUGUGAAAUCCCCGGGCUCAACCUGGGAAUGGCAUUGGAAACUGGCGGACUAGAGUGUGGCAGAGGGAGGUGGAAUUCCGCGUGUAGCAGUGAAAUGCGUAGAGAUGCGGAGGAACACCGAUGGCGAAGGCAGCCUCCUGGGCUAACACUGACGCUGAGGCACGAAAGCGUGGGGAGCAAAC